GCCGUCUUCAAGAUGAGACUUCCAUGCCCCUUGAGGGUGAGAGGCUCCCAGUAGACGACUGGGUUGAUAGGCCGGAUGUGGAAGCAGGGACGAGAGACCUGUGCAGCUGACCGGUACUAAUAAGCCGACGACUUGACAACAC
RNAcentral lists this ribosomal RNA (142 nucleotides) under Amnibacterium setariae. RNAcentral's name for it is "Amnibacterium sp. DD4a partial 23S ribosomal RNA". It matches the Rfam family "Bacterial large subunit ribosomal RNA", at positions 2792 to 2925 of the family's 2925-position model. Lineage: Bacteria; Bacillati; Actinomycetota; Actinomycetes; Micrococcales; Microbacteriaceae. The record is from RNAcentral.